This 174-nucleotide ribosomal RNA is filed under the name Salmonella enterica subsp. enterica serovar Brandenburg. Its description in RNAcentral is "partial 23S ribosomal RNA". It matches the Rfam family "Bacterial large subunit ribosomal RNA", at positions 1 to 166 of the family's 2925-position model. Lineage: Bacteria; Pseudomonadati; Pseudomonadota; Gammaproteobacteria; Enterobacterales; Enterobacteriaceae. The record is from RNAcentral.
GGGUUGUGAGGUUAAGCGACUAAGCGUACACGGUGGAUGCCCUGGCAGUCAGAGGCGAUGAAGGACGUGCUAAUCUGCGAUAAGCGCCGGUAAGGUGAUAUGAACCGUUAUAACCGGCGAUUUCCGAAUGGGGAAACCCAGUGUGACUCGUCACACUAUCAUUAACUGAAUCCA